Molecule: ribosomal RNA, 2934 nt
Filed under: Pectobacterium carotovorum
Lineage: Bacteria; Pseudomonadati; Pseudomonadota; Gammaproteobacteria; Enterobacterales; Pectobacteriaceae
Description: bacterial LSU rRNA
Rfam family: Bacterial large subunit ribosomal RNA
Source: RNAcentral
GGGUUGUGAGGUUAAGCGACUAAGCGUACACGGUGGAUGCCUAGGCAGUCAGAGGCGAUGAAGGGCGUGCUAAUCUGCGAUAAGCGUCGGUAAGCUGAUAUGAAGCGUUAUACCCGACGAUACCCGAAUGGGGAAACCCAGUGUGUUUCGACACACUAUCAUUAACUGAAUACAUAGGUUAAUGAGGCGAACCGGGGGAACUGAAACAUCUCAGUACCCCGAGGAAAAGAAAUCAACCGAGAUUCCCCCAGUAGCGGCGAGCGAACGGGGAGGAGCCCAGAACCUGAAUCAGUUUGUGUGUUAGUGGAAGCGUCUGGAAAGUCGCACAGUAAAGGGUGAUAGUCCCGUACACAAAAAUGCACAAGUUGUGAGUUCGAUGAGUAGGGCGGGACACGUGACAUCCUGUCUGAAUAUGGGGGGACCAUCCUCCAAGGCUAAAUACUCCUGACUGACCGAUAGUGAACCAGUACCGUGAGGGAAAGGCGAAAAGAACCCCGGCGAGGGGAGUGAAAUAGAACCUGAAACCGUGUACGUACAAGCAGUGGGAGCCUACUCGUUAGGUGACUGCGUACCUUUUGUAUAAUGGGUCAGCGACUUAUAUUCUGUAGCAAGGUUAACCGUAUAGGGGAGCCGCAGGGAAACCGAGUCUUAACUGGGCGUUAAGUUGCAGGGUAUAGACCCGAAACCCGGUGAUCUAGCCAUGGGCAGGUUGAAGGUUGGGUAACACUAACUGGAGGACCGAACCGACUAAUGUUGAAAAAUUAGCGGAUGACUUGUGGCUGGGGGUGAAAGGCCAAUCAAACCGGGAGAUAGCUGGUUCUCCCCGAAAGCUAUUUAGGUAGCGCCUCGUGAAUUCAUCUUCGGGGGUAGAGCACUGUUUCGGCUAGGGGGUCAUCCCGACUUACCAACCCGAUGCAAACUACGAAUACCGAAGAAUGUUAUCACGGGAGACACACGGCGGGUGCUAACGUUCGUCGUGAAGAGGGAAACAACCCAGACCGCCAGCUAAGGUCCCAAAGUCAUGGUUAAGUGGGAAACGAUGUGGGAAGGCAUAGACAGCCAGGAUGUUGGCUUAGAAGCAGCCAUCAUUUAAAGAAAGCGUAAUAGCUCACUGGUCGAGUCGGCCUGCGCGGAAGAUGUAACGGGGCUAAACCAUGCACCGAAGCUGCGGCAGCGACACUUAGGUGUUGUUGGGUAGGGGAGCGUUCUGUAAGCCGUCGAAGGUGGCCUGUGAGGGCUGCUGGAGGUAUCAGAAGUGCGAAUGCUGACAUAAGUAACGAUAAUGCGGGUGAAAAACCCGCACGCCGGAAGACCAAGGGUUCCUGUCCAACGUUAAUCGGGGCAGGGUGAGUCGACCCCUAAGGCGAGGCUGAAAAGCGUAGUCGAUGGGAAACAGGUUAAUAUUCCUGUACUCGGUGUUACUGCGAAGGGGGGACGGAGAAAGCUAGGUUAUCCGGGCGACGGUUGUCCCGGUUUAAGCGUGAAGGUGGAUGACUUUGGUAAAUCCGGGUCAUUAUUAACACUGAGGCGUGAUGACGAGUCACUACGGUGAUGAAGUAACCAAUGCUACGCUUCCAGGAAAAGCCUCUAAGCUCCAGGUAACAUCAAAUCGUACCCCAAACCGACACAGGUGGUCAGGUAGAGAAUACUCAGGCGCUUGAGAGAACUCGGGUGAAGGAACUAGGCAAAAUGGUGCCGUAACUUCGGGAGAAGGCACGCUGAUGGUAGGUGAAGUGACUUGCUCACGGAGCUGAAAUCAGUCGAAGAUACCAGCUGGCUGCAACUGUUUAAUAAAAACACAGCACUGUGCAAACACGAAAGUGGACGUAUACGGUGUGACGCCUGCCCGGUGCCGGAAGGUUAAUUGAUGGGGUCAGCCGCAAGGCGAAGCUCUUGAUCGAAGCCCCGGUAAACGGCGGCCGUAACUAUAACGGUCCUAAGGUAGCGAAAUUCCUUGUCGGGUAAGUUCCGACCUGCACGAAUGGCGUAAUGAUGGCCAGGCUGUCUCCACCCGAGACUCAGUGAAAUUGAACUCGCUGUGAAGAUGCAGUGUACCCGCGGCAAGACGGAAAGACCCCGUGAACCUUUACUAUAGCUUGACACUGAACCUUGAGCCUUGAUGUGUAGGAUAGGUGGGAGGCUUUGAAGCGUGGACGCCAGUCUGCGUGGAGCCAACCUUGAAAUACCACCCUUUAAUGUUUGAUGUUCUAACGUGGACCCGUAAUCCGGGUUGCGGACAGUGUCUGGUGGGUAGUUUGACUGGGGCGGUCUCCUCCCAAAGCGUAACGGAGGAGCACGAAGGUUAGCUAAUCCUGGUCGGACAUCAGGAGGUUAGUGCAAAGGCAUAAGCUAGCUUGACUGCGAGAGUGACAGCUCGAGCAGGUGCGAAAGCAGGUCUUAGUGAUCCGGUGGUUCUGAAUGGAAGGGCCAUCGCUCAACGGAUAAAAGGUACUCCGGGGAUAACAGGCUGAUACCGCCCAAGAGUUCAUAUCGACGGCGGUGUUUGGCACCUCGAUGUCGGCUCAUCACAUCCUGGGGCUGAAGUAGGUCCCAAGGGUAUGGCUGUUCGCCAUUUAAAGUGGUACGCGAGCUGGGUUUAGAACGUCGUGAGACAGUUCGGUCCCUAUCUGCCGUGGGCGUUGGAAGAUUGAGAGGGGUUGCUCCUAGUACGAGAGGACCGGAGUGAACGCACCACUGGUGUACGGGUUGUGAUGCCAAUUGCAUUGCCCGGUAGCUAAGUGCGGAAGAGAUAACCGCUGAAAGCAUCUAAGCGGGAAACUUGCCUCGAGAUGAGUCUUCCCUGGGUACUUGAUACCCCUGAAGGGCCGUUGAAGACGACGACGUAGAUAGGCUGGGUGUGUAAGCGUAGCGAUACGUUGAGCUAACCAGUACUAAUGACCCGAGAGGCUUAACCUUACAACACCGAAGGUGUUU